CUUGCUCUUGGAUCCCAGCUGCCAAGUCAGGAGGAAGCCAUGGCCACCCAGGAAGGCCCCAGGAUUUGCCACCUUGGGGGACCUCCUUUGUCUCUGUCCCUUCAUGCCAUGAACUCCCAGGCACAGGUUCUGCCCCAGAAAUGGAGGCUAAAGCUCCUUGCCUGAGACUGAGCCAAUUGGUCCCACCUGGGGUUCAGCUGAGGAAGCCUCUCCCCAGCAGCUACCUCACUGCAGGAUGAUGCUCUAAUGUCCACCUAUGUGAGACCUCCUUUCCCGGAGAAAAGAACAAGGAAAUCUACAUCAAAGAUACACUCAACCACAGAUCCUAUUAACUGGCAACCUGAAGGUUUAUGCACCUUGAGGACUGCUGAACACCUUGACACAGCUAGCUCGUGCAUCUAAGAGAUUGACUGAGGCAGCAGCUUUGAAAUACUUCUUCAACUACUGCAAAGACUGCAAGAUAUCCAUUAAAGCACAAUUUACUUCAUCAGCAAGCCUUCUGCAAGCUGUUCCCAAAAAGGGUGAAAUGAGCUGUGGCCUGGAAAGGUUACCUGGACACGUGGGAAAUUUCACAAUCUUUUCAACGUUGGCUUUUUUCCAUGUAAAAAGAAGCUAUCAUCUUCUGGGAAGAAAAAAGGCUGAGAAAUUCCGUGAUCUGCCAUCUGCAAGCUGGAUAAUAAGAUAAGCUGGUGGUGUAAUUUAGUCUACACUGGAAUGCCUGAGAAUCAGGAGUUAACAGUUUAAGUCUUCUUCAGAGUCCACAGGCUGGAGAACCAGAAGCUUUGGUACCCCAAGACAGGAGCAGGUGGGUGUCCUAGCUCAAGAAAAGACAGCAAAUUCACCCU
RNAcentral lists this long non-coding RNA (845 nucleotides) under Callithrix jacchus (white-tufted-ear marmoset). RNAcentral's name for it is "lncRNA (ENSCJAG00000079331.1)". Lineage: Eukaryota; Metazoa; Chordata; Mammalia; Primates; Cebidae. The record is from RNAcentral.